CCUACGGGAGCAGCAGUGGGGAAUUUUGGACAAUGGGCGCAAGCCUGAUCCAGCAAUGCCGCGUGGGUGAAGAAGGCCUUCGGGUUGUAAAGCUCUUUUGUCAGGGAAGAAACGGCUGAGGUUAAUACCUUCGGCUAAUGACGGUACCUGAAGAAUAAGCACCGGCUAACUACGUGCCAGCAGCCGCGGUAAUACGUAGGGUGCAAGCGUUAAUCGGAAUUACUGGGCGUAAAGCGUGCGCAGGCGGUUUUGUAAGUCUGACGUGAAAUCCCCGGGCUCAACCUGGGAAUUGCGUUGGAGACUGCAAGGCUGGAGUCUGGCAGAGGGGGGUAGAAUUCCACGUGUAGCAGUGAAAUGCGUAGAGAUGUGGAGGAACACCGAUGGCGAAGGCAGCCCCCUGGGUCAAGACUGACGCUCAUGCACGAAAGCGUGGGGAGCAAACAGGAUUAGAUACCCUGGUAGUCCACGCCCUAAACGAUGUCUACUAGUUGUCGGGUCUUAAUUGACUUGGUAACGCAGCUAACGCGUGAAGUAGACCGCCUGGGGAAGUACGGUCGCAAGNUUAAAACUUCAAAGUAGUUAAGUUGGACGNGNGAGNGCGACGACGACGACGACGGAGGAGGAG
Molecule: ribosomal RNA, 625 nt
Filed under: uncultured bacterium
Lineage: Bacteria
Description: bacterial SSU rRNA
Rfam family: Bacterial small subunit ribosomal RNA
Source: RNAcentral